GAAAUAUUAACUGUUUCAUUUAAAUUUUUAAUAGAAUUUUAUUUUUUAGUCAAAAAGCUAAAAUAAAUUUAAAAGACGAGAAGACCCUAUAAAUCUUUAUAUUUUAUUUAUUUUAAUUAUAAAGAUUAUUUUUUUUAUAAUAAAUUAAAAUAUUUUAUUGGGGUGAUAUUAAAAUUUAAAAAACUUUUAAUUUUAAAAACCAUUAAUUUAUGAAUAAUUGAUCCGUUAAUAACGAUUAAAAAUUUAAGUUACUUUAGGGAUAACAGCGUAAUUUUUUUGGAGAGUUCAUAUCGAUAAAAAAGAUUGCGACCUCGAUGUUGGAUUAAGAUAUAAUUUUGGGUGUACCCGUUCAAAUUUUAAGUCUGUUCGACUUUUAAAUUCUU
RNAcentral lists this ribosomal RNA (383 nucleotides) under Drosophila tanythrix. Its description in RNAcentral is "partial 16S ribosomal RNA". The stretch from base 259 to 383 matches the Rfam family "Bacterial large subunit ribosomal RNA", at positions 2473 to 2597 of the family's 2925-position model. Lineage: Eukaryota; Metazoa; Arthropoda; Insecta; Diptera; Drosophilidae. The record is from RNAcentral.